Molecule: long non-coding RNA, 185 nt
Organism: Melanotaenia boesemani (Boeseman's rainbowfish)
Lineage: Eukaryota; Metazoa; Chordata; Actinopteri; Atheriniformes; Melanotaeniidae
Exons: 3
Source: RefSeq, a predicted model, not a curated record
GGAGUUCUGCAGGUGUUUGAUGCUCCGUCUUUUCCCUUUGAGGAGAUGAGGCGACGGUUCAGGCAGGAAGAGGAGACGAGGGGCCGCGAACACCUGAAAAACCACUUUCCUGCAGCACAAGACGUGGACGUCAGAUUUCUGAGACCAGCUCCAAACACGGGAAGAUCUACAGAGAAGAAAGCGAG